This 500-nucleotide ribosomal RNA is filed under the name uncultured bacterium. RNAcentral describes it as "partial 16S ribosomal RNA". It matches the Rfam family "Bacterial small subunit ribosomal RNA", at positions 30 to 523 of the family's 1533-position model. The record is from RNAcentral.
AUUGAACGCUGGCGGCAGGCUUAACACAUGCAAGUCGAACGGCAGCACGGACUUCGGUCUGGUGGCGAGUGGCGAACGGGUGAGUAAUACAUCGGAACGUGCCCAAUCGUGGGGGAUAACGUAGCGAAAGCUACGCUAAUACCGCAUACGAUCUAAGGAUGAAAGCGGGGGAUCGCAAGACCUCGCGCGAUUGGAGCGGCCGAUGGCAGAUUAGGUAGUUGGUAGGGUAAAGGCCUACCAAGCCGACGAUCUGUAGCUGGUCUGAGAGGAUGAUCAGCCACACUGGGACGGAGACACGGCCCAGACUCCUACGGGAGGCAGCAGUGGGGAAUUUUGGACAAUGGACGCAAGUCUGAUCCAGCCAUUCCGCGUGCAGGAUGAAGGCCCUCGGGUUGUAAACUGCUUUUGUACAGAACGAAAAGGCUCUGGUUAAUACCUAGGGCUCAUGACGGUACUGUAAGAAUAAGCACCGGCUAACUACGUGCCAGCAGCCGCGGUAA